Non-coding RNA from Ceratotherium simum simum (southern white rhinoceros), 94 nucleotides. Lineage: Eukaryota; Metazoa; Chordata; Mammalia; Perissodactyla; Rhinocerotidae. The record is from RefSeq and is a predicted model, not a curated record.
UGAUGCUCACUCUGUCUCUUCAAAUGUGUUUUUUGCCUCUUAGUACUCCUUUUAAUUUUUUCUUGAUAGCCAGACAUGAUAGACUGAGUAAAAG